This 1115-nucleotide long non-coding RNA is filed under the name Theobroma cacao (cacao). RNAcentral's name for it is "long non-coding RNA (TCAC_LNC005403)". Lineage: Eukaryota; Viridiplantae; Streptophyta; Magnoliopsida; Malvales; Malvaceae. The record is from RNAcentral.
CUAUCGGUAAAUAAUUCUUAUAGUGUAAAAGUUAAUUAUAUUCAUAUAUACUAUAAAGUAAAUAACCAAAGCAUAAAAUUACUUUUACAGUGACACGUGGGCCCAUAUCUAACCAAAAUGCAUCGGAAGCUGAAAACCUGCAGCUUUUGCCGAUUCAAGUCCAAAUGAAGGUCCUUGUCAAAGUCAGCUAACUAUGGAAUUCCCCGAGCCUGAAAUGUGAGGAAAGAAGGGUGGUGAGAUUAUAAAAUCCCAGUGAGUAAACAGACACCAUUUAAACUAUCUAAAGGCGAGUAAAUGGAGACGAAUUAAAAUAUCCUUUUCCAAUAUAUGUUUCAUAACAUGAAUAUUCAGUUUACUCAAUUAAUCAACAUGGCUUAUAUAUCUCACAAAACUUGGCACCUGCCAAAAUCAUUCUCGGGGAUACCUUGGCCUAGGCAUCUAACCGAGACCACCAAGGCUGUUAAAUGUCUUUACAUCUGAAAUUCUAGCCAUGCCUUGGCGUUGGCUGAGUCUCACUCUCACGUAGUGCCCACGUGAAGUGCACUCAAAUCUUUACCUUUAGAGACACCCUUCACACGGCUCUCCGAUCGAGGUAAGGUAUAUCUGAUUCUGUGCCCCCUCUCUUAGGCUGGUCCACAGAACCUCCACUGUAGGGAUUAUGGAUUAUUUUAUCUACCACCUAAUUUAUAAAAUCUUUAUCUGCAUGACAUGGCAAUUUAUCGUAAUAUAGCCUCUCAAGGUUGAAUACAUAGUAUGUAUAUAAUUUUGAUACAAAUACUGACUUUGCCAUUCAUGCUCACAUAUUGCUAUAAGCCAUAUAAUUUAAAACAUAAUUUAUAACACAAGCAGGCAGUCUCCAAUUACUCUAUUUUCAAAACCAGUAUUCAAUUUUCCAAAAAAUUGAUCAAAUCAAUUUAUAAAAUCACAGUUUUUCCUAAAACAUAGCAAUUUACCAUUUAAUCCCAUUUUUCAUAAAAUCACACAAUUGUAUAAAACUACUCUAGAUAAUUAAGACGAUAAUAAGUUUACUCACAGUUCAAGGAGUCGAUGUACUCCUAAUCCCAGUCUCCAAGCACAAUCUCUGUACUUUUACCAGUGUAAUUUACUCACCACCU